UGAGAGACAUUUAAUUUAAUUAAUUAAUGUUAAGUUUGGUGAUUAAAACUUAAUAAGAGUGAAAAAAUGUGUCAAAAGUCAAUUUGGACUUUUCUUCUUAUAAACCUUUAUUAACCUUUAUAAAAAAAUAAAAAAUAAAUAAAAAAAAUUAAUGGUCACAUAUAUGGAAAAUGGUGGCUGGCCAUGUGCUAUUUUAGAGUGGUGUGAACCCAAUUUUAUAAAAUUCAAAUCCCAUUUAAUUAAGAAGUCAAGUGGGCAAGUGGGUAGAAAAGCACUCAAGUGUUUUGUGAUAUUUUGAAGAGUUGUGUGAGCCAUUCUAACCCCCAAAUCCGACCACUCUCCCUCCCUCAUUCACUCUCAUCUGAUUUUUGAAGACUCUCUCAAGUGUUCUCUCCAUUUUCAACCCCAAGAACACCAAAGAAACUUGGAAGCUAAGUCUUGGUCUAGGAAGGGUUUUCCCUAAGGUAAAGUUUCAUUAAUCUAGACUUUUGUCAAGUUUUAAUCAUAGAGUUUCAAAUAGCUAAUUACCUAUGUUGUUGGAGGAAGUUGGUUAGGGUUUUUGAAAGGUUUUGAAGGAGUCAAAGCUUAUAGGAAGAUCCAAACCUUAAGCAAGAACACCAAAGAGGUAAGAGCAAGGGCAAGGCAGAGCAGUGAGCGCUGGAGUCUUCCUUGCAAAUGUACAUGUGGACCGACCUUUUGGGAAGCCUUUUUAUUUUUGGAAAUGUUGUGUAAUUUUCCUAAACUAGGCUCACUCUAAUCUUUAUAAAACAUGUUUGUAACUAAAUGUUAAGUAUGGCCAUACGACUUUUUAAAAAGUUUUUUUUUCUAUGGGUUUUUGAGACAUUUUGUUAAAUGAAAACAUUUAUAUUUCCGCAUUAUCGAGUCUUGAGAAUCUGGGUCGUUACACCAGGGUCCUUGCUUCCCCAAGCAUUGCUGGCGUAGAGGAAGAAGGAGCUGCUGAGGAUGCUGCCAACCAGAAUGCUGAUAAAGACCCUCCUGCUCCUAAUGCCUCUUGAGCUUUAUUAUUUUUUCUUUCUUUUGAUUAUAUGACCCACGUGUCGUGAUGUAAAGACAAUACCUUUUUUGAAUUUGCUGCAUGGGUAGCAAACCUUUUCUUUUAUUUGAAGCAAACCUUUUCUUUUA
Long non-coding RNA from Humulus lupulus (European hop), 1143 nucleotides. RefSeq lists it as uncharacterized. The transcript is spliced from 2 exons. Lineage: Eukaryota; Viridiplantae; Streptophyta; Magnoliopsida; Rosales; Cannabaceae. The record is from RefSeq and is a predicted model, not a curated record.